This 427-nucleotide long non-coding RNA is filed under the name Olea europaea subsp. europaea. Lineage: Eukaryota; Viridiplantae; Streptophyta; Magnoliopsida; Lamiales; Oleaceae. The record is from RNAcentral.
GUGCUAUGCUUUAGAAGGUCUCGAGGAAAAAGUUGAGAUGGCCGAAUUCGAGAUUCGUGGAUUCCACAUCCAACUGGAUGAAAGUCAAAGGGCUUGCGCAGCAAUGACUGAAGCUGUUGUAAUCAUUCCUGAUCUGCAGGAUGAAAUGGAAGCGUUGAGAGCUCAAUUGCGGGUAUUCCAACGUGCGGUGGGCAAUGGGCAAGCUCCCGUACCUGAGUAUGCUCCUAGACUCAGAAUUCCUGAACCGUGUACCUACGGAGGGGCACGUGAUGCAAAAGAAGUCGAAAACUUUUUGUUUGAUAUGGAAUAGUACUUUCUCGCAGCUUCGAUCGAAGACGAAGCUAGAAAGGUAACCACAGCUACUAUGUAUCUGGGUGGAGAUGCAAAACUAUGGUGGCGAACCAAAUAUGCUGACAUUCAGGCCCAC